Non-coding RNA from Pelobates cultripes (western spadefoot toad), 942 nucleotides. Lineage: Eukaryota; Metazoa; Chordata; Amphibia; Anura; Pelobatidae. The record is from the annotation of a GenBank genome assembly.
CAAGAAUUCUGCACUUGGGACGGGGGGGGGGGGAGAACACUAUGGGACGGGGAGGGGAAAGAACAUUGUAGCGGAUGGCACUGUGGCUGUCCUCCAAAGACUAUGAGAAUCCUGCAAUUCGUGUGUUAAUUAUGUUCUGUAUUCCCAGUAACUAAUAUUCGUAUGUUUGUUCGGUAGUUUCCAUGGGUAUUUCAUACGAAUGGAAACUACCGAACUAAUAGACCUCCCCAGAGUGAAGUGUGUUCCCGAUUAAGUAUCGAAUAUGUGUUAACCGCAGACUAGUAGGUGGUUUAUUGCUGUAUCUGGGUGGCCGCCAUUCGGCACACGAACACGUGGUGUCGGCCAUCUUACGCACAAAAGACUCAGCGGUGUUUGGUCGUCGAGUGUCUGGAACCCACAUCGGACACUCGAUUACCCGAACACCGCUGACACCUCCAGAGCUCCAUAACUCCCUAACGGGAAUUCGAAUCAACCCCCGUUCGGUGAGUUUGGAGUACCAAACGAGGGCAUUCAGGCGAAUGACAGUUUAAUAGUGGAUGGCAGGUAUUUCAAUGUAUUUUACCUCCCGAAAGGAGACCGACCGCAGGGCCAAAACGCAUGGAACCCAUUUCUGAUAUCACCUCGUGUGCAGUCGGUCACAUUUCACCCUCCACCUAACUUCCGAACCCCUGGUCCGAUCUGGGUGAAUUUUGGAUAUGUUAGUCACCAGAUCAGGGCUACCAGGGGGUACUCAAGGUAUGGGUGUACCUGCUAAUCUUGGGGUACAUCCAGAACUUGGGGAAAACUGUAACAUGUAUAAUGGGAUUAGGUGUCAUACUAAGGGGAGGAGAUGUGUGGGAGCUAUUUCAUUGGAUACUGUAAUAAUGAAUGUGAAUCCCUCCCUUGCAUGGGAGAAAUGCUUAAAAGGAGGUUGUGUGGAAUAAACAUUAGUUCUGCUCCUGA